This 301-nucleotide ribosomal RNA is filed under the name uncultured bacterium. RNAcentral's name for it is "partial 16S ribosomal RNA". It matches the Rfam family "Bacterial small subunit ribosomal RNA", at positions 509 to 809 of the family's 1533-position model. The record is from RNAcentral.
CAGUAGCCGCGGGAAUACGAAGGGGGCUAGCGUUGUUCGGAAUUACUGGGCGUAAAGCGCGUGUAGGCGGGUCUUUAAGUCAGAGGUGAAAUGCCAAGGCUCAACCUUGGAACUGCCUUUGAUACUGGAGAUCUUGAGUCCGGGAGAGGUGAGUGGAAUUGCGAGUGUAGAGGUGAAAUUCGUAGAUAUUCGCAAGAACACCAGUGGCGAAGGCGGCUCACUGGACCGACACUGACGCUGAGGCGCGAAAGCGUGGGGAGCAAACAGGAUUAGAUACCCCUGUAGUCCCUGUCUCUUAUAA